GAAAUUAUUGUAGAAUUUAAGCUAUAUAUUAAAGAGAAUUAUUUAUAUAAAUAGGUUGCAAGCUAAGCAAUAAAGCUAAAGCUGUACCUAUAAAUAUAUUAACUCUAAGAGAAAUCUAGUAAUAAACGAAGUGAAUUGAAAUAUCUUAGUAACUUUAGGAAAAGAAAUCAAAAGAGAUUCUAUGAUUAGCGUGAGCUAAAAUAGACUAGCCUAAAAAGUAAAAUGGUAGAUAAACUGUUUAAAUUAAAUGGGGAACCUUCCUCAAAGGCUAAAUAUAAUAUAUAAGCGAUAGUGAAAAGUACCGUGAGGGAAUUAAAACAAAAACAGUAAUUUUAUAAGCAGUUCGGAAAAAUAAAAAAGUUAGAACGUACCUUUUGCAUAAUGGGUCACCAAGUUAACAUUAGAUGCGAGAUUAUACGUAGUUAAACCGAGCGUUAAAAUAACGGAAAGUGUCUAAAGUUAGACCCGAAGCCUGGUGAUUUUACUAUAAUCAGGAUUAUAAAAGUCCGAACGGAAUAUUGUAGCAUAAAUAUCCGAAGAAUUAUGGUAGGUGUAGUGAAAGACAAUACUGACCAGGAUAGCUGGUUUUCUGCGAAACCUAUAAUAGUAGGCAAUUUAAGUAUAAUAUCUUAGCAGGUACAGAAUUUAAUCUCAGACAAGGCAUAUAAAAUGUUUUAUUUUGUACAAAUUGGGGGAUCAUGAAGAUUUUAUCAGUGAGUAUGUAGACUCGGAAUGGCAAAGAUAUAUCUUAAAUCAUCAGACAUAGAAUGAUAAGGUUGUAUGUCAAAAGGGAAACAGCCCAGAACAAGAGUUAAGGUUCCUAAAUUAUUAGUUGAGUGAAAUUAAGAAGGUUUUUAUUAAAGUCGACAAGGAGAUAGGCUUAGAAGCAGCCAUAAUUUUAUGACCUCGUAACAGAGCGCUUGUUAAGUUUUAAAAGCAUCGAAAAUUUAUCGGAUCUAAACAAUAUACCGAAACCUUGUCCAUAAUAUUUAUAAUUAAAAUAAUAGUUAUAAUUAAAUGGGGUAGCAGAACGUUGAGUUAAAUUAUGAUUUUUAUUUUUUAAAUGAAAUUAUAAUAAUUUAACUCAAGUGAUAAUGGUGACAUGAGUAACUAAAAGAAAAUUUUCCGCCUAAAGCUUAUGGAUCUAAUUAAGUAACGGCCUCUAAGUUUAUAUUAUCUAAAGAUUUAAACGAUGAGAUAAUCUUUUUUACUAAGGACGACAUUUAAAGUGAAAAAUGUACUGGAAAAAUAGUAAUAUAUUUAUUUUUAGCGCUAGCUUGCUAUUUCAUUAGCAAGCUCGCUUUAGCUUGCUAAUUCAUAAAGCAAGAAAUAAAUGAAAAGUAACCGUACCUAGAAACUGAAACAAGUAAGUUAGUAGAGAAUACGAAGGCGUAAAUGAGCUAACAAUCAUAAAGGAACUCGGCAAAUUGACUACCGUAACUUCGGGAUAAGGAGAGCUCAUUAUUCUUGAUUAAUAUCAAGUAAAGAGGAAGAAGCAUGAAAUAGUGUUGUACGACUGUUUAAUUAAAACACAGCACUUUGCUGAAAGAUUAAAAAUCUAAGUAUAGAGUGUGAUGUCUGCCCGGUGCCGGCUGGUUAACAGAUAUAAUUAGAUAUACUAAUAUUUGAUGUAGACGGAAACCCCGGUUAAAGGCGGCCUUAACGUGAGGGUCCUAAGGUAGCGAAAUGCCUUGGCCGUUAAAUGCGGUCUUGCAUGAAUGAUGUAACGAUACAACAGCUGUCUCUAUGAUUGACUCAGUGAAAUUG
Fusarium solani is the source of this 1767-nucleotide non-coding RNA. The record is from Rfam. Lineage: Eukaryota; Fungi; Ascomycota; Sordariomycetes; Hypocreales; Nectriaceae.